RNAcentral lists this non-coding RNA (630 nucleotides) under Pongo abelii (Sumatran orangutan). Lineage: Eukaryota; Metazoa; Chordata; Mammalia; Primates; Hominidae. The record is from RNAcentral.
GUUCCGGGUCUCCACGCCCUCCUGGCUUGCGGGCAGCCGCGGAGCCGCGAGUGGACCGAGCGAGUGCAGCUGCCUCCGCGGGGCCGCGCCUGGCCGCCGCCUCCCUUUACCUCCGGCCGCACUGUGGCAGGUGCAGAAGCUGCAGAGGCCGCAGCAGUCCAGCGCGCCCCCUCCGCGUGGCCACAUGCCACCCGCGCCACGCCCAGCAUUCCAGCGUCCAACAGAGCAUGCGUGCACCAUUCCAGCAUCCGGCAACAAUGCACCAGCAUUCCAGAGUCCAACAGAGCAUGCGUGCACCAUUCCAGCAUCCGGCAACAAUGCACCAGCAUUCCAGCGUCCAACAGAGCAUGUGUGCACCAUUUCAGCAUCUGGCAACAUGUGUGUCCCCCAACAUCCCGGUGUCCAGUGGCACAUGUGCACCUGGACUUUCCAGUGUGGUGACCUUUCAGGCACGGAGCAAGGCCAAAGGGAUAAAAAGAUGAAGAUGACGCAGUACUCGCCCUUAUAGUGCCCACAGGUCUGGAUAGGCCAGACAGAUCUGGAAAUAAAUAAUUCAUAAUAAAAAAUAAUUACAGAAUAAGAGGUAUAAUAACCACAGAUAGAAAGUAUUGAGUAAAUCUGUAAGAAAUG